CAGAGUGUGGCUGAACUAGUUAAGCAUCUCACUUACACCGAGAAGAUACCCAUGCAAAUUGGAUCGCUCUGA
RNAcentral lists this transfer RNA (72 nucleotides) under Sundadanio axelrodi 'red'. Its description in RNAcentral is "tRNA-Val". It matches the Rfam family "tRNA". From Rfam's summary of the family: Transfer RNA (tRNA) molecules are approximately 80 nucleotides in length. Their secondary structure includes four short double-helical elements and three loops (D, anti-codon, and T loops). Lineage: Eukaryota; Metazoa; Chordata; Actinopteri; Cypriniformes; Sundadanionidae. The record is from RNAcentral.